GGGUCAGUAGGUUGGUCGUGCCACCGGUACGUACUGGUCUCACUGAUUCCUCCUUCCUGAAGAACCGUAAUCCCAUUAAUUUGGUGUUGCGGGGAAACAGGACUGUUACUUUGAAAAAAUUAGAGUGUUUAAAGCAAGCCAACGCUUGAAUACAUUAGCAUGGAAUAAUGAAAUAGGACGAUCGAUCCUAUUUUGUUGGUUUCUAGGAUUGACGUA
RNAcentral lists this ribosomal RNA (216 nucleotides) under Glomeromycotina sp. RNAcentral describes it as "partial small subunit ribosomal RNA". The stretch from base 40 to 216 matches the Rfam family "Eukaryotic small subunit ribosomal RNA", at positions 686 to 864 of the family's 1831-position model. The record is from RNAcentral. Lineage: Eukaryota; Fungi; Glomeromycota.